Molecule: ribosomal RNA, 476 nt
Filed under: uncultured microorganism
Description: bacterial SSU rRNA
Rfam family: Bacterial small subunit ribosomal RNA
Source: RNAcentral
GAGUUUGAUCGUGGCUCAGAUUGAACGCUGGCGGCAGGCUUAACACAUGCAAGUCGAGCGGGGGAGAUUGCUUCGGUAAUUGACCUAGCGGCGGACGGGUGAGUAAUACUUAGGAAUCUGCCUAUUAAUGGGGGACAACAUCUCGAAAGGGAUGCUAAUACCGCAUACGCCCUACGGGGAAAGCAGGGGAUCACUUGUGACCUUGCGUUAAUAGAUGAGCCUAAGUCGGAUUAGCUAGUUGGUGGGGUAAAGGCCUACCAAGGCGACGAUCUGUAGCGGGUCUGAGAGGAUGAUCCGCCACACUGGGACUGAGACACGGCCCAGACUCCUACGGGAGGCAGCAGUGGGGAAUAUUGGACAAUGGGGGGAACCCUGAUCCAGCCACGCCGCGUGUGUGAGAAGGCCUUAUGGUUGUAAAGCACUUUAGCGAGGAGGAGGCGUCCUGUAGUUAAUACCUACAGAGAGUGGACGUUACU